Molecule: long non-coding RNA, 897 nt
Organism: Culicoides brevitarsis
Lineage: Eukaryota; Metazoa; Arthropoda; Insecta; Diptera; Ceratopogonidae
Exons: 3
Source: RefSeq, a predicted model, not a curated record
CAUGUGCCUUGUGACACUUUAUUCUAGCCAGAUUUGGUGAACAUUGUGCGCAAAAAGAAGACGUACAACUUUCCUUAAAAAAAAUCUAAGAAAAAGUGAAUUGCAUAACAAGAGGCGACAUGAAGAAAAAAAAUGCAGGAAGUGAAAAUUUUUGAGAUGAAAGUGAAACAAAAAUAUUCAGGAACUGUGCCAAUUUUUUUUUGCUCUCCUUCACUUCCAUUCGCAAACAAAAAGGAACAAAAAUGUGUGAAAAAACUUUUGUUGUAAUUGUCCCUUACCGAACACAAUAAAUUAUUCGUUGCAUAUUGUGCCUUUAAAAAAAAUUGUAUAUUUAUUUGUGUUGCUGGUCGUGCUCUCCGUUCACUUGGCUUAACAUUUUCAAAGCCAAACGGAAAUGUUCGCCGUACAUAUUAUCAACAUUAUUUACACGCAAGAACAACAAAUAAAGAGUUGUUGUUCGCAAAAUUGUUUGGCAUUGUGACAGACGACCGGCAUUUUUGUGGUAUCCAAAAUGGACAAAGUUAUCCUUUUGCCCGUAAGCGAAACACAUGCUGCUCACGCAAUUGGAAAAUAAUGACAGAGCUACUCGAUGUUUCAAAAAGUACAAAACAAACACAGACUGAGUGUAGCAGAAAUGUGGCGAUGAAAUGUAAACAGAGUUAUUGUUUGAUUUUUUGUUCGGUUUCCCAAGGGCUGUUUAGCAGAAUUAAUAAAGAUAAAUGUCUGAGGACUCGGAUGUCUUGCUGUGUUUCAAAAUGACAUGACGCGCCGCUGCCUUUAUAUUCAAUGAAUUUCACUCCAUUGAAUAUAAUAUGUCCAUCUGCCUCAGUCAUUCAUAUUUUAAUGAGGAUAUUACGAACUACAUUAUACAUGGACUCUAUGGUGAAAUAUAAAACU